UUGUGGGUGGGGCCAGAGGGCGGGGCGAGCGGAGAGCACGGAGGCUGGGGUGGGGCUCCUGGGGUGGAGCCUUGAGAAGAAAGGUGUGAGGUUUCUUCUCAGUCUCCCAAGAGACAGAACAAAAGAACUAAAGUACGGGCGAGAAAGGUGUUUUCGCUACACCUCACUAUUAAGACAAUGAAACACGAGUUCUGAAACAAAUGUUGGCCGUACCGACGUACUGUACGUGUUAACUUGCUAGCGUGGAAACAUGGAAAAACGCGUCCGUUGACGAAAAUGAGAAAGCCUGGGGUUCUUGGAGUUAUCAAUGUUCAUAGUUUUUUCAAAAGAAUGCUUUCAUUUCUUUUGCUCAAAGGAAGACCGUAUGCUGGUGCUCCAAAAUGCCAAAAUAAAACUUUUCAUUCGGGAAGUGUGUUGAAACCAGAUGUGGUGAUGCAGGCCCACACAGUCCUAGCCCUUGGGAUGCUGAAAUAGGAAAAUGCAGUUUUAAGACACCCUGCAAUGUAUAGUGAGACUCUUCCCCCACCUCCCAGAAGAUGCAAACAGGAUCUUGCUGUUUUGCAGGAUGGUCUCCUUUUUACCAUCCUCUGCCUCAGCCUCUCAAAUGCUGGCAUAAAGAGUCUCCGAGGAUGUGCAUAAGCUAUUUCCAGUCACCAGGAUCUCAGGAUUUUAAAGCCUCUUCCUUACCAAGAUUCCACUUUAGAGGUUACUUACACGAGCACUAUUAAAAAAAGGCAGGAAAAAAUAACAUGGUUGGAUUUUCUGACAUGAAAAUCGCACAGCUUUUUAAGUUCCUUUAUUGGACUCCUCAAUAUGUGCUUUUUUUUUUGUUUGCUUGUUUGA
Peromyscus maniculatus bairdii (prairie deer mouse) is the source of this 843-nucleotide non-coding RNA. The record is from RefSeq and is a predicted model, not a curated record. NCBI's taxonomy places the organism in Eukaryota, Metazoa, Chordata, Mammalia, Rodentia, Cricetidae.